CCGGUUUUCCGGCAUCAGGAAAGGAAAGUCCGGGCAACAGAGAGCACCAUACUUCCUAACGGGAAGAUAUCCGCGAGGGUAUAGCAGCGUAACAGAAAAUAACCGUCCCGCCUUGCGGGAUAAGGGUGAAAAGGUGAGGUAAGAGCUCACCGGUUCCUGUGGCAACACAGGAAGCCGUACGCCUUAUGGGUUGAAAGACCAUGUAUACCGGCGCCUGAGGGUUGCUCGCCCGAGCCGGGGGGUAGGUCGUAGGAGCCAUCCAGUGAUGGAUGGACCAGAUAAAUGACGGAUGGAAGGGCAAACUCUCUCGAAGGGAAAGCCGCUGAACAGAACCCGGCUUACAGACCGGCUGCUUGA
Molecule: RNase P RNA, 357 nt
Filed under: Bacteroidales bacterium
Lineage: Bacteria; Pseudomonadati; Bacteroidota; Bacteroidia; Bacteroidales
Description: partial RNase P RNA component class A
Rfam family: Bacterial RNase P class A
About the family: Ribonuclease P (RNase P) is a ubiquitous endoribonuclease, found in archaea, bacteria and eukarya as well as chloroplasts and mitochondria.
Source: RNAcentral